CAUUAUUUGUCUUGGGUCAUUUUUAAUUAAAUUAAGAUACUUCCAUAAUUGUAUCGCAAUUUUCAGAGAUCUUCAUUAGGUUAGGUUAGAUAAGUUAAGUAUAAAUAAUAUUGAUAAUGGUGAAAACCGCAAUAGAUAAAUAUAUUUUAAUUCCAUAAAUUUAAAUUCAUUUAUACUAUGCACUUCGCUAAAUUGUGGAAACACCAUACAACUGCGGAACAAUACAUUUUCAUUCAGCAAGGACUGCUAUAGAUUACAAUAUCGGAGUUCAUAAUUGACCUAUUACAAAUGAAAUGAAC
This is a non-coding RNA of Cinara cedri, 299 nucleotides long. The record is from the annotation of a GenBank genome assembly. NCBI's taxonomy places the organism in Eukaryota, Metazoa, Arthropoda, Insecta, Hemiptera, Aphididae.